RNAcentral lists this unclassified non-coding RNA (337 nucleotides) under soil metagenome. Its description in RNAcentral is "partial contains 5.8S ribosomal RNA, internal transcribed spacer 2, and large subunit ribosomal RNA". The stretch from base 1 to 120 matches the Rfam family "5.8S ribosomal RNA", at positions 35 to 154 of the family's 154-position model. The record is from RNAcentral.
GAUGAAGAACGUAGCGAAAUGCGAUAAGUAGUGUGAAUUGCAGAAUUCAGUGAAUCAUCGGAUCUUUGAACGCACAUUGCGCCCCUUGGUAUUCCAUGGGGCAUGCCUGUUCGAGCGUCAUUUGUACCUUCAAGCUCUGCUUGGUGUUGGGUGUUUGUCUCGCCUCUGCGUGUAGACUCGCCUUAAAACAAUUGGCAGCCGGCGUAUUGAUUUCGGAGCGCAGUACAUCUCGCGCUUUGCACUCAUAACGACGACGUCCAAAAGUACAUUUUUACACUCUUGACCUCGGAUCAGGUAGGGAUACCCGCUGAACUUAAGCAUAUCAAUAAGCGGAGGA